CGUAGGGUGCGAGCGUUAAUCGGAAUUACUGGGCGUAAAGCGUGCGCAGGCGGUUAUAUAAGACAGAUGUGAAAUCCCCGGGCUCAACCUGGGAACUGCAUUUGUGGCUGUAUAGCUAGAGUACGGCAGAGGGGGAUGGAAUUCCGCGUGUAGCAGUGAAAUGCGUAGAUAUGCGGAGGAACACCGAUGGCGAAGGCAAUCCCCUGGGCCUGUACUGACGCUCAUGCACGAAAGCGUGGGGAGCAAACAGGAUUAGAUACCCUGGUAGUCCACGCCCUAAACGAUGUCAACUGGUUGUUGGGUCUUCACUGACUCAGUAACGAAGCUAACGCGUGAAGUUGACCGCCUGGGGAGUACGGCCGCAAGGUUG
RNAcentral lists this ribosomal RNA (370 nucleotides) under uncultured organism. RNAcentral's name for it is "bacterial SSU rRNA". It matches the Rfam family "Bacterial small subunit ribosomal RNA", at positions 526 to 896 of the family's 1533-position model. The record is from RNAcentral.